RNAcentral lists this non-coding RNA (93 nucleotides) under Grammatophora oceanica. Lineage: Eukaryota; Bacillariophyta; Fragilariophyceae; Rhabdonematales; Grammatophoraceae. The record is from RNAcentral.
AGAGAAAGUCCCCGUACACUUGAGUAGAUAGGGAUGCCAGAGAGCCAAAGAUGGCCUGUUCGGCCCCUGGAGGGAGCACCUGCCCGCUCAGCG